GGUCCAGACAUAGUAAGGAUUGAC
Molecule: non-coding RNA, 24 nt
Filed under: Arabidopsis thaliana (thale cress)
Lineage: Eukaryota; Viridiplantae; Streptophyta; Magnoliopsida; Brassicales; Brassicaceae
Source: RNAcentral